Hirundo rustica (Barn swallow) is the source of this 3665-nucleotide long non-coding RNA. RefSeq lists it as uncharacterized. The record is from RefSeq and is a predicted model, not a curated record. The transcript is spliced from 4 exons. Lineage: Eukaryota; Metazoa; Chordata; Aves; Passeriformes; Hirundinidae.
AGGCAAUUGAGAGUGGGGUCUGCCCUCCUUUCCUGGCUGUGUUUGCUGGACUUACACCUCAGAGAGCUGCUCUGGAUUUCUUCCUUAGGUACAUGUCAUAGCAAGUGACUACAUGAAGCUGUCCCUGUUGUUUAACUGUUGGGCGUCUGUGACACAGUGUGCUGCAUCUGUAGGAGAGCAUGUAUUUCAUGCAAAAAAGUUCUUAGGGACUCAAAAAAAAUUGUGUAAUCUUGAGACUCAGUGAAGUGUACUAGGCUCCUAAACACUUAACCCUUGAGAAAUACACCAGAGCCGUUUGGGGAGAAGAGGAGCACACCAACGCAGUGCUGAGGCGUGUUUGAGCAUUAACGCCUGUAGCAAGAGAAGUUCUCCAUUACAGCUGCAGAGAUAUGGAGCACUCUUGCAUGAUGGGCUUACAUAAAUGACUGAAGAGCACACAGAGCUGAUGAGUCCUGGGCCAAGACUGCGUGAUACAAAUCACUCAUGAUUUGUGCCUCUGACUGACGUUCCUCCAGCGAGGACUCCCAGAUAUGUACCAGCAUUGUGAGAUUCCCGUAACCACUGGUCUUUGGUAUUUCCUGUGAAACUUAAACCUAAUGUUGGAAAUCUGCAUCAGCACUCAACUGUUCUGCCCUUUGUUUUCUGUUCGUCAAGGUGGCUUUUCUAAUUAGCAUAAAUCACAAAGCUCCUGCAGCAAUAGUGUUGUCCAUGUGAUAUACAACAUCUCUGCUGUGCCCAAGGAAUAUUUACAAGCCAAAGGCUCUGCUUUGCUUGAUUUGGAGAAGCCUCUUGUUUCUUCUUUCAGUUUCUCAUUAUAAGAUAAAACAAAUAAAGGGCUUUAAGAGAAAAUAAUUUUAGAAUGCCGUGAUACUUUUAUUAUUAUGCAUGUCUGAAGUGAACUAAAUAAAUAAGCUAAAGGCAAAGGAAAUGCAACCCUAUGGACAUUCCAAAGUUUAAAAACAAGUGACAAUGUCUGCACUACAUCACAUUAGACUACAAUAAAAAAGUUAAUCGACUCUGAAUUUGGUGUAACCUAGCUGAAGAAAUAAGACACUUCUGUCGGGUAUGGAUGCAUAAUGUAAACAAUUUCAAAGAGUAUUUGGCAGUCUCUUGGAAUUUUCUCCAAAUGCUUUUGGUUCAAUGGGAGUGAAAAGCCAUGCUCCAUUAUAGCCUCACUUGAUCUUUUAUUUUAGAGGAAAGAAGCUUGGAGGCAAGUCUGCUUUGUAGCUUUAAGGUGACAGUGACAAAAAAGUGAAAUGAACUGCGUGCUUGUAUUUUUUUACCUACUCACCUUUCUUACUUUCAUUAUUGCCUUUAAUUUUCUUUCACUUAAAAUUUGAAAAUGUACGUGUGUCAGCUGUAAUAGAAUAAUUGGUGACAACUGCUGCCUUCGUUUAAGAAACUAACUGAUGUGUACACAUGCUUUAGUUUCAUGCUCUUUCUCAGAGGCUGAUGUUGGAGAGGGAAUAGGUGUUUCUGAUGUAUUCCUAAGCUGUAUAUCUUUAUAGUGUUUAUUUUUUAUACCGUCAUAGAUGAUCUUGAGUGCUUUGUAUAUGAGGAGUUAGGACUUUGGAGUAGGAAAUGUUUUUUUUCCUCUCUGGCUUUUGAAAGAUCAAUUAAGAACAACUCUGAUUCUGUGCAGCUUUCAUUCCUGUUGCCUGCUUCUGCAUUUUCAUGAGAAAUUGCAGCCUAAGUAGUAUUAAUCUGCUUAGUGGUUGGGUGGAAGCAGAGAACAGCUAGAAGUUGAUUUUCCCCGUUUCCUGCAGCGCACAAACCCAGUUGAGCAGAGCAGUUAGCCUUGCUCCUGAGGGCUAAUAUAAAUUAAAGGUCCUGAGCACCAGGGGUUGUUAAAAUUCUCAGAGGGCUCUUUAUAAGAUGUUAACCCCCGUGGUCUGGCCAGGCUCCAAACCGGGUAAUUACAUUCUUCCUACCUAAAUUCCCCCUGCAAUUGCAAUUCGAUGUGCUGGUAUUCCUCACUUCCUCUCCUCUGCCGUGCCCCGUGGAACAGUUGUUGCAUUUCAUCCCAGAGGUACUUGCUUUCAGUGACUGAUGGAGUGAUCUGUGUGUAGAGUCCAUAAAGCAUUUUAAGAGCCUUUUGGAUGAAAUGUAAUUUAUGGUGCUUUUUUUUUUUUUUUUUUUUUUUUUUUUUUUUUUUUUUUUAAUUAUCUCCUGUUUAAAAUGAACUGGGUUAUUCUGAGCCCUGAAUGAGUGUGAGCUGUGUGCAACAGACUGGAAUGAGAAAGCAUCAACAACUGUUCUCGUUCCUUGCUGAACUUCUUCCCAGAGGUUUUUUAGAUAAAAAAGGUAAAAGAUCAAACUAAAAGUAUAGGAAGCUUUUCUAAGAAGUUCGUUACACCAUAAGAAGAAUACAAACUAUAUAAAAAGGCUAAUGUGACUUUUGCCUCAACUGAAGUACAAAUUGAAAUGUGUGUAUGUAGAUACAACAUUUCUCCUGCUUAGGAAUUCUGUUGUAAGCUUAAGAGCAGCAACUAAAAACUCAUGUUGUAAAAGUUGCUCUUUUUCUACCCCUUUUUAGACUAGAAAAGCUUUUCAUUAUAAAGACACUAUAAUUUUCAUCAAGGUAUUACAUCAUAAUCAUAAGUAGACUCGUGUAAAUGUAAAUGUUGCUUGUAAGCAGAAAAGUAUGUAGUUAGCACUCAAUAUUUAACGAGAUAGUGGGGAAUAUCUAUAUGUGCCAAAUAUACAGAGACUUCAAAUACAGUCUUCUCUAAAUAUGGGAUUUGCAUGUCAGUUAUAUGCAAUGCCAAUAGGGUAAAGUGUGGCUGGGGGACAUCUUUCUGUUUAGUUUAACACUGGUUUCUCUCCACUCUUGGAGUGUCUCAUACUGAGCUUAACUCUGCUACGCAGGAAAUCUUUGUACAGGUGCUCGUCUGAAUAUGCCCAACACUUCUUUCAAGAGGUCACUUAGUCUGGUCUAACAGCCUAAAAUGUUUAUAUCAGUUAUUUCUCUCCUAGAAGAUCAGCAGAUAGAAAGAAAGCAACAGUGUUGACCUGUGCCGUAAAGUCCUCACUGAUUAAGGGACAUGCCUGAAGGUGAGCUACUCACCAUGCUGCAGGGCAAGUUGAAGGUUUUGCAGGUGACUUUUCUGGUAGCACAAGAAAUGUAUUUCCAGUCCCAGAUGGGAAAGAUCAAUGUAUGAGCCAAUACAAGUGAAUGUGAUGCACUACCUGAGCUUCUGAGGGGAUUCUUUGUUGCCUUGUGUGUCAGGAUGCUUGGAGGUCUGCACUGACCCGACAUUAGCCAUUUUCUAGUGCUGCUGAGGAAGGUAAAAAAAGCAAAAACAGCCAAUAAAGAAACAGAAAAAACUUUUUUACAUAAAAAAAUUGAAAUACAUGUCCAAUACAAUACAGAUACUUUGAAAGCCUGAAGCUUAAAAUGUCCUUGCAAGGUCUUCCAUUGUGUUUUAGUGAAAAACUACAUUAUGACAAACAUAUCUUCCUCUCUGAUCUGUGAUAAAAGAUGAAAUAAAUUUAAAUGUUUGACACUAAAUGUAGCUCAAUGUGCUCUGCUGCUUGUUGCUUAGAAAGGAGCCUGCGCUAAUUACACAGCCAGAUGUUCUUACGAGUUAUACCUAUGUAAUCCCACUCAGUGUGGCUUUAAUGGAUUUUAACUUAGAAUAAGAAAUUUAGUUCUCUUGCCUGUA